UUUUUUUUCUUAUUUGUCAGUCUACUUAAGAACUUAUAUGACUGCUUGUUCUGUUAUUGUGUGAUUCCUAAUUCUGUUUGGGAUUCCCCCUUCCCCCUUAAGCUGGAUGAUGUUGACUUGAGAUUAUGUAUCAUCUCUUAACAUUUUUCAUACUUUCCUUUCCUCCUUUUUUGGCUAUUCCCUGAAUAACCUAAACUUUGAAGGAAGAAGAUUAUGCAAGCAUAACUGACACAAAACCUGCUCUAAGUUAAUUGGGAUGAAUUUAUUCCCUUGAGUCAGAUAGGUUUUGUUAUGGCUCACACCCCUCACUUAUGACCUAAUGGAUGAUUACUUCUGGGAUUGAUGGUUUAUCCGACAUGGUUAACAUGGUUCCAAUUCCAAUUUUCAUUUAACGGUUUUGGUGGGCCUGUUACAUUCCAUGAAGAUGCAGGCAUUGAGGCUGAUCUCUAAUGGCGGUUAAUCAGAUGAAUUUGCUGGGUCAAAUUUUUACUGAUGGUACAUAAAAGGUAUACAGCAGUAGAUUUUAGAAGUUAAACCAAAGGAUCUUUUGUUAUGCUCUUCAACAAAUAUUUGACCCAGGAAGUGUGUAAGCUGAAAAAUUUUGGGUUAAAAGAACUUAAGAGAUUUAAGCUUGUUAAUAUCUAUAAAUAUUUCCUUGCUCUCUUCCUCAUCUUCUAUGUUUCUUUUCUCUUCUCCUUUUUUUUUCUUUUCCCCACCUCCAUUCUCUGUUCUUUUUCCGCUUGGAAGUUGUUUGGUUUAGGCAAGUCUCUUUAGAGCUGACUGGAGCCCGAUGUCCCCAGACGGUUUAGCAUCGUUUUUCCUCAUUGUUGAGUGUGAGCAGAUUGGCUAACUUACUGUUCUUAAUUUCUCAGUCAAAGUAAUUUGUUUUCAUACACAGGUAAUUUUUAUUUUUUAUUUUUGUUUAAUCAUUGGUUGUUGGCUUUUUGUAGAAAACAGUUUUUAUAAAAAAAAAAAAUAAUAAUAAUAAAUAAGGGAGCCUCUUCAUUAUGUCAUUCAUAAAUAGCUGUUAUUUUUAGUACUAGUGAAAGCUAGUUAAUCGUUGUGAUUUCUCACUUUCAGUCAUUUUUUGCAGUCCUGUCCAUGUAAUUUUUGAAGAUUGUUAUUUUACUUUGACCUUGCCCGCUUCCAUGUUGAUGCCACGUCUGAUUUUCCUCUAAAAACUAAAGGACAUAUUGUUAAAAAAACCUAAUGGAUUUGAAUUGAGUGACUAAACUAAAACAAAAAAGCAAACAUAAGUGACCACUUCAGAACAAAACAAUGUUCGGUGACUGGCAUGAAACUUAGCAAUAAAUUGAGUUGCUAACAGUGUUUAUUUAACCAGUAAAUAAAUAUUUGUUAAUGCUUAGUAUGUGAACUUUCUUUAAAAUUUCACUUCUACCUAUUUUUGGAAAAUAAAUUCCUGUUUACGCUAGUAUAUAUGUAGCAUGACCCUCGUAUGUAUAAGCUUUUGUAAUUGUGUAACGAUUUUCCUGAAAGGUCUGCCAAACAUUUGAUGUUAUUGAAAUAGACAUUUAUCAAAUGCUAUUGAAUGAAGAAUUGUGCUUCCAUUAGAAUUAGAAUUAAAAGACCGUUUGCUUUAUAUACUGUGGGACUCCCUAGAAGGAAGCAAGAUAGGAAGAAUAUUUAUAUACUUACUGUGGAUCCAGUCAAGUAGCUACACUUGUCACUCUGGACUCAAUUUUAUGGUUCCUUCACUUGUUAGGGGAGAUAUUUUCAUAAUUCUGCUCCCUGUGGGGGUAGUUCAGAGCUACAGAUCCAAGUGAAUCGGGGAAUGCUGUUGAAUGAAGAAUCAUGUUCACUUGGAGAUGACAAGUGAAUCGGGGAUUAUGAUUAUAGAGACCUAUUAAUUAAAGACCGAAAGGGUUUACUGACAGCACCAUAAUAUCUAUAAUUUUGCUCAUCACUAGUGUAUAUUAUGUCAGAGUGUAAUUUCGUUGAAAUUAUGCAAAAUCUGGAAUAAUUGCUUCGAAUUUAUUCGAGUUGUUCUGACUUUUGUGUUAGACAGAAGUGUGGUUUUCCUAGUGAAAUGGACUGCUUUGUUUGAGGAAAUGUAUAGCUCAGUCUUCAAUUUUGCUUUGUGUGGACUACUGAUAUUUAUGCAUUUGGACAAUUAAGUAAUAAUUCUGUUUACUUUUAUCUGCUAUUUAUGGAUAGAGUAUGUUGGGUUUUAAGCAUGAUUUCUCUUUCUUCCUGUUUGAGUCUGUAUCCUCACUUCUCCCACAUCUUUUCUAUUAUGUUCUCUUUACAACUUUCUCGUCCUGUCCUGUUACCUGGAUAUGGCGCCUUUUACUGUCUAUUUGUUCUUUAAUUGUCUUUCACUUCUUCUUCUUUCUUCUUUCAUUUUUUUUUUCCUUUUUUUUUCCCCCCUUUUUGCCUUGCCUUGUUUCUUCUAUAGGAGAAUAAAGAAUUUGAUCUCAAGAGGAUGUGCUGAGCAACAACUAUUCAUGGGCAUUGUUGCCAAAAGUCACUAACCUGGAACCAAGUAUUGCUGUUAAAAUUCAAAUACUUAAUUAAGAUUGUAUUUCAUGUCUCCCAUUGC
This 2560-nucleotide long non-coding RNA is filed under the name Olea europaea subsp. europaea. The record is from RNAcentral. Lineage: Eukaryota; Viridiplantae; Streptophyta; Magnoliopsida; Lamiales; Oleaceae.